Molecule: long non-coding RNA, 992 nt
Filed under: Zostera marina
Lineage: Eukaryota; Viridiplantae; Streptophyta; Magnoliopsida; Alismatales; Zosteraceae
Description: long non-coding RNA (ZMAR_LNC002440)
Source: RNAcentral
UUUAAACCUUAUUUUCAAAUCCCAUAAAAUCUUAAAUCCCUAAAUGUUAUUUCCAAUUCUCAAACCCUAAAAAAACAUCACCCUUAUUUCCAGCCUUCUCCCACCAACAUUCCAGCUUCCCCCCAUUUCUCUUACUCGAUUUCUUCCUCUCCUACUCAACGUGUUCAUCGCCUGCCGGCUACCAUCGAUUAAGAUUAUUCCUAGAAUCUGAGCAUCAGAUUUCCAGACUUCUUCAUCCGGUUAUCUUCAUUCUAUUUUUCCUGUUAUUGGUUUUUAUUUCUUCAUUCCAUUUCCAGAAUUUUAUUUCUCCUAUUAUCAUUCCAUCUUUUUUUUAUGUUCCCAAUUCCCAGAUUUAAAUACAAAUUAAUUGCUUUAUCUUCAUUAAAUUUCAUGAUUAUGAUGCUUUAUUAAACAGAGUUUAGGAUGCUUCGCUUUUUUUAACAAACGAUUAGUAUUUAUUUGUAAUUUGACAUGUUCAGUUUGUCAAUUUUAUCCGAAGUGUUUAGUUUCCUAAAAAAAUUUGGUUAAGAAGUCGUCUAAUUAUGGCUCCGCCCAUGAAUAGCACAAGUUUGUUAUAGGCAUCUUUUGUGUUGGAUUACUAUGUCUCUAUACAUUAAAAAUUCCUUUGAAUGUGGUGUUUGUUUGUUAUGACACUGACAAACAAAUGUUACUAAUACAUGGUGUUUUUAUGAGAUUUUUUUUGGAGUGAGUUCUUUUUAUUUAUUUAUAGUGAUUCAUAUAGUUUGCAUCAAUCAAUCUGAGUUGUAAGUUAUGUCAAUUUUUCUGAAGGGUAACUCUUGGAGAUGGUUUUGGGUUCUUGGUUGUUAUGUGGAUAAGAAAGGUGGUGAUGGAGUUCAUGUAGCUAGAAUAAGGAAGACAGUUACACUGAAUAUUAGCCAAAUGAUCUCGGGCUGAGUCUAUCACGUAUCAAGUCUUGAGAUUGAGCUCAUUUGUUUGAAAUCUUAAUGAGCUUGCUUAGACAGAGCGUUAAA